This 274-nucleotide ribosomal RNA is filed under the name uncultured bacterium. RNAcentral describes it as "partial 16S ribosomal RNA". It matches the Rfam family "Bacterial small subunit ribosomal RNA", at positions 523 to 796 of the family's 1533-position model. The record is from RNAcentral.
AGACGGAGGGGGCUAGCGUUGUUCGGAAUUACUGGGCGUAAAGGGCGUGUAGGCGGAUUAGUAAGUUGGGAGUGAAAGCCCCGGGCUCAACCUGGGAACUGCAUUUGAUACUGCCGGACUGGAGUAUGGUAGAGGGAAGUGGAAUUCCACAUGUAGCGGUGAAAUGCGUAGAUAUGUGGAGGAACACCAGUGGCGAAGGCGGCUUCCUGGACCAAUACUGACGCUGAGGUGCGAAAGCGUGGGGAGCAAACAGGAUUAGAAACCCCGGUAGUCC